Molecule: ribosomal RNA, 522 nt
Filed under: Carpophilus tempestivus
Lineage: Eukaryota; Metazoa; Arthropoda; Insecta; Coleoptera; Nitidulidae
Description: partial large subunit ribosomal RNA
Rfam family: Archaeal large subunit ribosomal RNA
Source: RNAcentral
UUUAUCAAAAACAUGGCCUUUUGUUAUUAUUUAAGGUCUAACCUGCCCUAUGAAUUUUAAAUGGCCGCGGUAUUCUGACCGUGCAAAGGUAGCAUAAUCAUUAGUUUUUAAUUGAAAGCUGGCAUGAAAGGUUGAAUGAAAAAUAGCUGUCUCUUAAAAAUUUUAUUAGAAUUUUAUUUUUAAGUUAAAAAGCUUAAAUAAUAUUUAAAGACGAGAAGACCCUUUAGAGUUUUAUAUAAUUUUAUUAAUUUAUAUUUUUAGAAUUUACUGUUUAAAUUAAUGAUUUAUAUUUGAUUGGGGUGAUUGGAAAAUUUAAUAAACUUUUCUUAUUAGACCAUUAAUUUAUGAAUAAAUGAUCCAUAUUUUAUGAUUAUAAGAACAAAUUACCUAAGGGAUAACAGCGUUAUUUUUUUUGAGAGUUCUAAUCGAAAAAAAAGAUUGCGACCUCGAUGUUGGAUUAAAAUUAAAUUAUGGUGCAGCAGUCAUAACUUUAGGUCUGUUCGACCUUUAAAAUUUUACAUG